UUCAGAAGCAGGAAGAAAUCAUUGAAGCUUCCUAUGGAGUCAUGAUUGCUCGGGUUGAUCUUGGAGUUGAAAUCCCACUCGAACAGAUUCCAAUAGUCCAAGAGGAAAUAACUCAAGUGUAGGCAGCUAAACAAUGUUUUGUAGCUUCUCAACUACUUGAAUCAAUGAUUGAAUACCCAACCCCAACACACUUUGAGUGCCAUGAUGAAUAUCUCCUCUGCCUUCACUGAUCAGAAAAGAAGAUUUUUUCCUCGCCUUGGUUUUGGAUUGGACAAUCAGUGUGAUGAACCAGUUUCAAAGAAACCGUGUGCUUCCCCAUCCAUGGACUACACACAAUUAAGAAGAGCUACUAGAUUGCAAAAUACUAUCAGAGGUUUUAAAGAGCUUAGAAAAGAUGGUGCCUAACUUGAAAAUUUUCACCUAUGAACGAUUGGAUCGGUUAAAAAGAACUGCCAUCUUCACUGAAUGUGAAGUGAGAAUGUGACAAGAGUCAGUAAUCUACAAGUGAAGGAGAAUAUUUAACAUAUGUGAAUGUUCCUUUCUGA
This is a long non-coding RNA of Rosa rugosa (rugosa rose), 545 nucleotides long. RefSeq lists it as uncharacterized. NCBI's taxonomy places the organism in Eukaryota, Viridiplantae, Streptophyta, Magnoliopsida, Rosales, Rosaceae. The transcript has 2 exons. The record is from RefSeq and is a predicted model, not a curated record.